UUCCUUAGUUGGGAAUUUAGGGGCAGAA
This 28-nucleotide non-coding RNA is filed under the name Rattus norvegicus (Norway rat). Lineage: Eukaryota; Metazoa; Chordata; Mammalia; Rodentia; Muridae. The record is from RNAcentral.